This is an RNA transcript of Nicotiana attenuata, 2176 nucleotides long. RefSeq lists it as uncharacterized. Lineage: Eukaryota; Viridiplantae; Streptophyta; Magnoliopsida; Solanales; Solanaceae. The transcript has a single exon. The record is from RefSeq and is a predicted model, not a curated record.
CUUAGAUUCAUUCCAAUGGCUUCUCUUGUUGGUCCUCCAGAAAUCUAUGGCACACAAAAAUCUUCCUCCACCAUUCAACAAUCAGCCCCUACUGUUCGCAAUCCCUUUAUGGAUCUAAUGGUUGCAAAUUUCAACUCCAUAAAAACACAACCUCCUAAUAUGGGCUACACUGAAAACAUGUCAGCAACUUAUCUUUCUACUUCAAACCCUUGUUUAGAUUUCUUCUUUCAUGUUGUUCCUGAUACUCCUUCCCAAUCCCUUACUAAAUAUUUACAAUGUGCAUGGGAUCAUGAUUCUUUAACCGCCUUGAAACUUAUUUGCAAUUUGCGUGGUGUUCGUGGCACUGGCAAAUCUGAUAAAGAAGGUUACUACACUGCCGCUUUAUGGCUUCAUCAAUUACACCCUAAAACCCUUGCCUGUAAUUUAGAAUCCAUGGCGAGUUUCGGGUAUUUCAAGGAUUUGCCUGAGAUUCUAUACAGGCUACUUGAAGGAGCUGAUGUGAGAAAAAAGGCUAAAAAAGAAAGAGAAUUAAGUAACAGGCUGGGAAGCAAAAAAUUUAAGAGAUAUAAAGUUGGAAAGGAUAGAAGUUGGAAACCAUUUGGAGGACUUGAAGUAUCUAAUGAGAGCAAAGUUGAAAAUGAGAAACAAAAAGCGAGGAGCGCCAGAGAGCAGAGGAAAAUCGAGAUGGCUAAAAAGGCUUUCGAGAGGUAUAGGCAUGAUCCUGAUUAUAGAUUCUUGCAUGAGCGUGUAUCUGAUCUUUUUGCAGAUUGUUUGAAGUUAGAUCUUGAGUUGUUGAACACUAGGAAAUUGAAAGAUAUCAGCCUUGCAGCUAAAUGGUGUCCUUCUUUAGAUUCAUCUUUUGAUAAAAGAACACUUUUAUGUGAAAGCAUAGCAAGGAAGGUUUUUACAAGAGAGUCAUACCCUGAAUAUGAAGGAAUUGAAGACGCACAUUACGCGUAUAGAGUGAGGGAUCGAUUGAGGAAAGAAGUUUUAGUGCCCUUACGCAGAGCGCUGGAAUUGCCUGAGGUUUAUAUUGGGCGACAAGAUUGGGGUUCGAUUCCUUACAAUAGGGUAGCAUCAGUUGCUAUGAAGUUGUACAAAGACAAGUUUUUGAAACAUGAUGAAGAAAGAUUUAAAGACUAUCUUGAGAAAGUGAAACAGCGGAAAGCCAAGAUUGCUGCGGGUGCAUUGUUGCCUCAUCAGAUAAUAGGAGCACUAAAUGACACUGAUGACGGGGGUCAAGUUGCUGAGUUGCAAUGGAAGAGAAUGGUAGAUGACUUGUCCCAAAAGGGAAAAUUGAAAAAUUGUCUUGCUAUUUGUGAUGUCUCGGGCAGUAUGUCGGUGUACUCCAAAGGAGGUUUCAGUGGCGCUAGGCGUUGUCGUUUCAGAAUUGAGUGUCGAGCCUUGGAAAGGGAAGUUGAUAACAUUCAGCAGGAACCCGAAGCUUCAACUAGUUGAAGGGAAGGAUUUAAGGUCCAAGGUUGGGUUUGUGAGAAAUAUGGAAUGGGGAAUGAACACUGAUUUUCAAAAGGUGUUUGAUCUAAUACUACAAGUAGCUGUGGAUGGGAAACUAAAGGAGGAUGAGAUGAUCAAGAAAGUGUUUGUGUUCAGUGACAUGGAGUUUGAUCAGGCGUCGGCUAAUCCAUGGGAGACAGAUUAUGAGACUAUUGUUAGAAAAUUUACAAAGAAAGGUUAUGGGAAUUGUGUGCCUCAGAUUGUGUUUUGGAAUUUAAGGGACUCGAGAGCAACACCAGUGCCAGCAAACCAAAAAGGAGUUGCAUUAGUGAGUGGUUUUUCGAAGAAUUUGCUGACAUUGUUCUUGGAAGAAAGGGACUUUCAUCCUGAAGCUAUUAUGGAAGCAGCAAUCUCUGGUGAAGAGUAUCAAAAGCUAGUUGUGCUUGAUUGAUGUAUAUCAAACUUGGGAAGAGGAGAAAGGGAAUGGAAAUGAUUUAAUUUUUCCUAUUUAGAGACUUUUAAUAAGAGUUGGAUGUUGAUGAAAACUGUUCCUCAAAUAUUGAAGAAAAGAAGUUUAUGUUUUAAGGAAAUUGAAUAUUCCAUCUAUUUCAUUUUAUAUGUUAGUACUUUUUUGUUUAAGUAGUAUACACAGGACAAGAUGAUAAUUUUAUGCGGCAAAAGCUAAUACGUAUUGUUAUAAAUAAAAUUUUAUUUAUGGUGA